UGUAGAUUAAAAAAAAAUUACCGCUUGAAGAUGCAUUAACAAAGCUUCAAGAAUCCCAACUACUCUAAAGAAAUUGAAGAAUUAGAAUGUCUAUAGCAAAUUGUACCCAACUUAAUUUGUCAAUGGACUCAAUAGAGAACAUGGCUAUAGCUUAUGCAAGCAUUGAACAUGUGAUGAACUUGUUUGUCUAAGCAAUGAAUGUGACUAAAUUUUUUUGACACUCCAAAUAAUGUGUUCUACUUCACAAAAUUACUACCAAAUCUCUGAAGUUACGAGGAAAUUGUGAAUUUGAGAUGUUCUUUUGGUCCUUGUUGCAGUGACUACAGUGGAGAACGGGCAGAAGGCAUUGGAAUUGUAGGGCUCGGUGGAGGAACAAUACAGCAAGAAUCAAGAGUAGGCAGUACUUUGACAAAUAUUCUCUUCAUCCAUGUACCCUUGAUUUUCUGAAGCUACUACAGCCAAACACCAUGAAGAAACAUACAAUAUGAGGCUCCAUACCUCUUUCACAGUCCAUGCUCAUAAUUAUUUAUACUCUAGUCAUUAAUGUUCGGGAGAAAGAUUAGUAACUUGUUCGCCUCCAUGGGAAAAAGAAAAUAGCAGGUUAUAUUUGGCAUUAUAUAUUUAUGGUUGGAAAAAUAGUGUCACCAAUGGGUCAAUUCAGUGCAUGUGAUUUUUUAUCACCAGUCCAUCAUUCAAUGCCUGUGAUCAGCACAAUUUGUUGUAUAACAUGUCAUCUUUUAGAACUUUGUGCAUUUAUACACUGAGCUUUGAUUCGAUAUGGCAGGAACUUGAUCAUUACUGAUUACUGCAUAUCAAGGAUGACAGGACACGAUCUACUCAAAAGGGUGAAGGGAUCCUCUAAUUUGAAAGAGAUACCUGUGGUCAUCAUAUCAUCCGAGAACAUCCCACCUGAUACAAGAAGUGCUUGGAAGAAGGUGCUCAAGAAUUUAUGCUAAAGCCUAUCAAACAAUCAGAUGUUAAGAAAUUGAGAUGUCAUAUGACCAAAGUAACCAAAUCAUGUAGUGGAUG
Molecule: long non-coding RNA, 1029 nt
Organism: Solanum dulcamara
Lineage: Eukaryota; Viridiplantae; Streptophyta; Magnoliopsida; Solanales; Solanaceae
Exons: 3
Source: RefSeq, a predicted model, not a curated record